RNAcentral lists this ribosomal RNA (428 nucleotides) under uncultured bacterium. RNAcentral's name for it is "bacterial SSU rRNA". It matches the Rfam family "Bacterial small subunit ribosomal RNA", at positions 917 to 1344 of the family's 1533-position model. The record is from RNAcentral.
GGACCCGCACAAGCGGUGGAGCAUGUGGGUUAAUUCGAUGAUACGCGAAAAACCUUACCUACCCUUGAAAUCCCUAGAAUCCUUUAUAACUAAAGGAGUGCCUUCGGGAACUAGGUGACAGGUGCUGCAUGGCUGUCGUCAGCUCGUGUCGUGAGAUGUUGGGUUAAGUCCCAUAACGAGCGCAACCCUUAUUCUUAGUUACCAGCGCGUCAUGGCGGGAACUCUAAGAAAACUGCCGGUAACAAACCGGAGGAAGGCGAGGACGAUGUCAAGUCAUCAUGGCCCUUACGGGUAGGGCUGCACACGUGCUACAAUGGACGGUACAACGGGUUGCCAAGCCGCGAGGUGGAGCUAAUCCUUUAAAACCGUUCUCAGUCCGGAUUGGAGUCUGCAACUCGACUCCAUGAAGUCGGAAUCGCUAGUAAUCG